Long non-coding RNA from Suricata suricatta (meerkat), 911 nucleotides. RefSeq lists it as uncharacterized. The transcript is spliced from 2 exons. The record is from RefSeq and is a predicted model, not a curated record. NCBI's taxonomy places the organism in Eukaryota, Metazoa, Chordata, Mammalia, Carnivora, Herpestidae.
GUUAAAUCUGAGGUGCACACUAAACAUUCAUGAGGAGAAACUAAAGAAGUGGUUGAAUACAUAUGAGUCUGGGUUAGAGAGGGAGUCUCAGUAGUGUUGGGAUUUGAGUAGUUGGAAUAUAAAGUCACCAUCCCAGACAAGAUCACCAAGAGCAAAAGACCAUAGAAGACAGUUUCUGAGCACCUAUAUUCCAAAGUCCAGAAGAAGAGGAGGAACCAGCAAUUAACGAGUAGUCGGUGGGGAAGCAGGUAGAAAACCUAAAGGGAAUGGGAUUCUGGGAAGCUAGAGAAAAAGGUAUAUCAAAGAGGAGGGAAUGACUAACUUGAAAGUUGUUGCAACUAAGCUGAAAGGAGAGAAUUGACCACCUCACUAGAAAACAAGGAGGAGAAACCAUUUCCCUUGGUGAGAGCAGUUUUGGUGGAGUUGGUGGUGGAGCAGGGAACAGCUGGAUUUCAGUAUGUUCCUAGAGAAUGUGAAGAGGAAAACCAGAGAUAUUCCUUUGAAGAAUUUUUAUUGGAAUUCAGAGUAGAUAAACAGAAAAAUAUCAUGCAUCCUGUCUUAAAAAAAAAAAAAAGAACAGAGCCCCUUUGCAAGUCACUGGAUGCUCUUCCACUAGCCCUUCACCCUCUUUGCCUGGUCUGAAGGAACCAGACCCCCUGGCAACCCCGUUCUCAGACCUCUGAGGAAAUAUGUGUAGCUGGAACCUUUGAACCUGCACCUAAUGAAGAAUGUUAUGGACCACAGUACUCCCAUUAUUGAUGAACUGCCCUAAACUUCUUUAAAAACCCUUGGCCCAGGCAAAAACGGAAGAGUCGGUCUCUAUGGACAAUAGUAAGAGUCUGACGUCUCUCCAGGUGGCCAGCCUCCUGAAUAAAUCUUAUAUUCCUUUCCAAUUAAAAUCUAUCACUUGA